AGUUACUGAGAUUCAGAGUUUCUUGGGAUUAGCAGGAUAUUAUCGGAGAUUUAUUGAAGGAUUUUCCAAGAUUGCUAAGCCUGUGACCUCGCUUUUGGAGAAAGGAAGAGAAUUUAAGUGGGACGAGAAGUGCCAAGAAAGCUUUGAUCAGUUGAAGGAGAGAUUGAUGUCUCCAUCAGUAUUGAUUAUGCCAGAUCUGCGGAAGGGAUUUGACAUUUAUUGUGAUGCAUGUGGCCAAGGCUUAGGAUGUGUGCUUAUGCAAGAAGGACAUGUGAUUGCCUAUGCGUCUCGUCAGUUGCGGAAGCAUGAACUGAACUACCCCACUCAUGACUUGGAACUAGCAGCAGUUGUGCAUGCACUUAAGAUUUGGAGACACUACAUUAUGGGGACUAAGUGCCAAGUAUAUAUGGAUCAUAAGAGUUUGAAGUAUAUAUUCACUCAGAAGGAUCUCAACCUUAGGCAACGCCGUUGGUUGGAGCUUAUUAAGGAUUAUGAUUUGGAGAUUCACUAUCACCCGGGCAAGGCGAAUUUGGUUGCAGAUGCCUUGAGUCGCAAGGAGCAUGUUCAUUCAGCUAUUGUUGCCCAGUUACCCGAUGAGAUUGUUGAGGAUUUCAGGAGACUUAACCUAGGGAUAGUUGCUCAUACUGAAGGAGUUACAAUUGAUGUGGAACCUACUUUGGAGCAGGAGAUCCGCAAAGGACAAAUUGGUGAUGCUAAAAUAAAAGAGAUUAAAGAUCUGAUUACUGAAGGUCGAGUACCGGAAUUUACGGAAGAUGAGCAGGGCACUGUAUGGUUCAAGGAUAGAAUGUGUGUUCCUGAUAUUAAAAGCCUUCGAGAGACUAUAUUGAAAGAGGCCCAUGACUCGGAUUAUUCUAUUCAUCCUGGUAGUACCAAGAUGUAUCAGGAUUUGAAGCGGAAGUAUUGGUGGUAUGGAUUGAAAAGAGAUGUAGCUGCACAUGUGGCUAUGUGCGAUGUAUGUCAAAGAGUUAAGGCUGAACACCAGAGGCCAGCUGGACUACUGCAUCCACUGAAGAUACCCGAGUGGAAAUGGGAAGAGAUUGGUAUGGAUUUUAUUACUGGAUUGCCUCGCACCCAGAAAGGAUAUGAUGCUAUAUGGGUGAUUGUGGAUAGAUUGACUAAAGUGGCUCACUUUAUUCCUGUCAAGACUACUUAUAAAGGUUCUCAGCUAGCAGAGUUAUAUAUGGCUCGGAUUGUGUGUUUACAUGGAGUACCAAAGAAGAUCGUGUCUGAUCGAGGUUCACAGUUUACCUCAAGAUUUUGGAGAAGCUUUCAUGAGAAUAUGAGUACAAAGUUGAAUUUCAGUACAGCUUAUCACCCUCAGACUGAUGGACAGACUGAAAGGACUAAUCAAGUGUUGGAGGAUAUGUUGAGAGCAUGUGCCCUUCAGCAUGGAGGAAGUUGGGAUAAAAGUCUACCUUAUGCUGAGUUCUCUUAUAACAAUAGCCAUCAGGCCAGUCUGAAGAUGUCACCUUUUGAAGCUUUAUAUGGGAGGAAGUGCAGGACUCCUUUAUAUUGGGAUCAGACUAGAGAGAGACAGUUCUUUGGGCCUGAAUUGAUUCAAGAAGCAGAAGAACAAGUCUGUAUAAUUCGAGAGAAUUUGAGAGUGGCUCAAACCAGGCAAAAGAGCUAUGCUGAUAAUAGAAGGAAACCACUGGAAUUUGAAGAAGGAGACUAUGUGUAUCUCAAGGUGUCACCACUUCGUGGAAUGAGGAGAUUCAAAGUUAAGGGCAAAUUGUCCCCUCGCUAUAUUGGACCAUUCUUGAUCUUUAGGAGAAUUGGAGAGAUGGCAUACCAACUUGAGUUACCUGCUAGUCUAUCAGAUGUGCAUAAUGUGUUCCACGUGUCUCAACUUAAGAAGUGUCUCCGUGUUCCUGAGGAGCAGUUACCCAUGGAUGAGCUCAGUGUUCAAGGUGAUUUGACCUACACGGAGUACCCGAUCAAGAUUCUUGACACUUUGACUCGAGUUACAAGGAAUAAGGUUAUAAAGAUGCGCAAAGUCCAAUGGAGUCACCAUGGUGAAGAUGAAGCAACUUGGGAAAGAGAAGAAGAGCUUCGUAUAGAUUUUCCCCACCUUUUCCCUUAGAUCUUCUUAAUCUCGAGGACGAGAUUAUUUUUAAGGGGCGUAGGAUUUGUAACACCCACUUUGUAAUUUGCUAGAAAUAAUACCAAUAGAGAAACAAUUUCUCUUUAUGUGAGUUUGAUCUUUAUGCAUCAUCUUAUGUGAACAUCAUGCCCAAAAACAAUUAAUAAAAAGAUAUGCUACUAAAUCAUUGCAUCAUGCUGAAUAUUUUAUUUGUGUGUGCAUUUUGUGACAACAUAUAAUAAUGUGAAAAGUAUUAAAUAUCCAAAUGGGAAAUUAAAUCCUAAAAGAAAUUCUAAAAUUUGGAAAGAAAGAAAGAAAAAUACUAUGCAAUACAAAAAUAAAACUUAUAAAUAGAUAAAUUUAUUCCACAAUGAUUUAUCCAAAUUAUAUACUCAGAAAAUUUGAGUACAAAUUCAUCCCAAAUUUGAAAUUAAAACUUAGAUCCAAAAAAAUAAGAGAAAAGUGAAAUGAAAAAGGAAAAUAAAAAGGAAAACAUAACUAUCUCGAAAUGGGCCGACAACCACCCAUUCGGCCCAGCUUUCCUUUUGAUCCGCGCAGCCCAAACCUGCCUGCGCCCGGCGCCGACUUGUGGGCCCCGCUGUCAUACUCACGCCACAUCACGCGUUCCCGCGGAUCGCUGUCGUGUGGGACCCUGCCGUCAGCCGCGAAUCACGCGCGUGCGCUCCUCUGUGCCACUAACCGAUGGGCCCCCGUAGCCAGAACCGUCUCUAACCGAAGGCGUGAAGCUCGGCUGAUGCGCGGACCUCGCGCGGGCGGUUCUAACCUCCAUCCCGCUUUCCUCUCGCUCGGCGCGGACUCGCUGGUCCAUAAGGUGCGAGCGCUGGCCCCUUCCUUCCCCGUAAUCCGCUCUACACGUCAUACACCACACCGCCGCCGCGCCGUGAGAAAACUAAGCCCGCCGCCACAUCCGAACCAAGUGAUCACCGGCGUUGGGACCCCAGGAAUUAGUCUAGGAGCGUCCGUGGGCCUUUGGACGAGUGGCGUGCCGUCCGUAGGAGAGAUUGAUCGACGAGCAAGGCGCAAUUGCUCAUCGGACUUCAAAUCUCCGCCGCGGUCCGCUCUUCGUCGUGGCCAGCAUCGUCGGGCAUCGAUUACCGGUAACAAGCCCAUCCUUGUCCUCGUUAUGCAUUGCGCAUAGUGUAGCAGCGACGAAUCGGGGAUUGGGGCAUCUAUGCACCGGAACAUCGCUCGCCGGAGGCUCUCCGCCGCGGGACUCUGGUGCGCCGCCGCCGCGAUCCACUGGGGAGGGAAGAAGGCUCGAGGGCCGUUCGAUCCGUCUCGGGUGGCUGCGAUGGCGCCCAGCGUACCGUUUAGGGUGGUGUGUUCCGCGACCGUUGGAUCGUCAACACAGGGGCACGAUCGGAUCAAGCUCAUUUAAAAUCGUCACCGUUGGUAGUUGAUCCGAUGGACUAGAUUGCGUACCGGUUCGGUAUAUGUUAAAUUUAAUCCGAGCCGUUCAUUUGAGAUCGGUCGGUCUCGGUUUCAUCCCGAAUCAUUAAGUCCUAAUCUAAUCUGAGCCUUCGGUCCACGAUCGGACAGCUUAGAUCUGUCCAUACCCCUUCGCGGCUAACAUUUUACGUAUGAGCCCCUCUGGUUUUUAGGAUUAAACCCGCCGUCCAGGGACCCUGUUCCCUGUGUCUGCGGAUUCUUACCCCGAGCCCCCUGUGUUUCACAUUAAUUGAGGCCCAGUCCAGAACAUAAUAAAAUCAGAGAAAAUGAUUAUUAAAUAGAUUUUUAAUAGAAAAAUAAUUGCUAGAACUUUAUAAAUUCAUAGAAAAUUCAUACUAACUCCAAAUUGAGCCAUUCCACUUUCUAAAAUUUUGUAAUUUUAUUAUCUAUCACCUAGAGCCUCUGUUAUGUCAUGAAAACAGUAAGGAAUUUAUUUACCACUUAAUCCUAUUUAAAGCACAUAAAACCUUUGAAAAUGCAUAACUUAAAAUCUAUAACUCAGAAAAUUAUGAUUCCAGUUCCUAGGUUUUUAUUUUAAUAUGUAGAUUAUUACUGUGUAUUUUGUUUACAUGCUUGGUGUAAUGUUAAUUUUCCCUAUAUCCUGUGCUUGUUUGUGUUGUGGCGAGUAGAAGAGCCCGUUGCCGAGGAUCCUGGUGAGCAGCAGGUUGAAGUAGCUGAGCGGGAGCUCAUUGAAGGCAAGUUGUGCCCUUGACCACUUUUUACCUAAUAAUGCUCUUUAAUACCACUUAUCCAUGCAUAGGUUAAUUUUGAUGGGACCCAAUAGGUCACCCUAGAUUUGUUUAUCUCAUUACCUUGUUUACCCCUGAAUCACUGGGUAGCUUGCUAUUGCUUUACAUGGUUUUGGGAUAAUCAUUGAUUAUAUCUAUGUUCCAAUUAUUCUUGUUAUUCUGUUUAUGUUCAUGUCAAGUUCAUUAAUGUUAAUUGGAACAUAGAGCUUAACUUGAGUAACACGUGCCACCACAAGGGUUUAAUGGGACGCCCUUGGCUGAUUAAUUAGGAAAGCUAGUGGAAGACUACCCUACCCGAAAGGGGCAAGGGCAGUAGGGGAGUGGUCAGUGUAGGGAGGUCCCUGGUUGAUUUUGCUGCGAUGGCGGUCAGCCAGGAACCCUGCACUGGAACUUCCUAUAAACUGUAGCGGGUUUUCGGAAGCUAGUGGAACUUUGUAAAGGCCUCGUAGUGGAUCCCUAGCCAUUCACCUCGGUAGUGUCUAAGGGCCUUGCAAACCCUGGCGACAUGGGAUACACGACUUGUGGGUAAAGGGUACAACCUCUGCAGAGUGUAAAACUGGUAUACUAGCCGUGCUCGCGGUCAUGAGCAGCUCAGGACUCUCUGAUGUUUAAAUUAUGGAACUUAAAUUCAAUUUUGUCAAUUGCAUUGCAUGGGUUUGUUAUUAAUUUGUUCUAUUACUCUAUCUAUGGUUUGGUAUUUACUUACACUUAGUAACUGCUAAUAAAAUUUUGACCAACUACUUAAAAGCAAUGCUCAGCUUUAACCCCUGUCAAUGAUUAAGCCUUACACAUUACAUGAACUCACACCUUUGUGAGUUUAUGUCCACUGGUUCCCCACAACUUGUUGAGCUAUGAUCAUGUGUGAGCUCACCCUUGCUGUCUCACACCCCCCCACAGGAGAAGAUCAGGUGGUUCAGGAGGAGCCGCCUAGCACUGAGGAGUUCGAUCUGAUCUAGGUGGCGUUUCUCAGUCGACAUUGGCGCCGACGAUCCUUAGUUCGUUUCAUGUUUAUUACUUUAUUUUGUAAUAAGUCUUCCGCUAUGUAAUAAAUACUCUGAUGUUUUAUGACAUUUAUCUCUAUACACUCUGUUAUUAUAUAUGUUGUCUUCUUGGCGCAUGUAUGAGAUGCACCCGGCUUUGUCCUUUAAAACCGGGUGUUACAGGAUAUUCCCAAGUCGAAGGUUUGGAUUUUGGUGAAACCUAUGCACCUGUAGCUAGGCUUGAGUCCAUUCGUAUAUUAUUAGCCUAUGCUACUUACCAUGGCUUCAAGCUCUACCAAAUGGACGUGAAGAGUGCCUUCCUCAAUGGACCAAUCAAGGAAGAGGUCUAUGUUGAGCAACCUCCCGGCUUUGAAGACAGUGAGUAUCCUAACCAUGUCUAUAGACUCUCUAAGGCGCUUUAUGGGCUCAAGCAAGCCCCAAGAGCAUGGUAUGAAUGCCUAAGAGAUUUUCUUAUUGCUAAUGGAUUCGAAGUUGGAAAGGCCGAUCCUACUUUAUUCACUAAAACUCUUGCAAAUGAUUUGUUUGUAUGCCAAAACUAUUUGGGUACCUAAAAUCAAGAACUAAAUUUGUUUUGUAGGUUUAUGCAUCCGGGGGCUCAAGUUGGAUCAUCGAUAGCGGGUGCACAAACCACAUGACAGGGGAGAAAAAGAUGUUCUCCUCCUACGAGAAAAACCAAGAUCCCCAACGAGCUAUCACAUUCGGGGAUGGAAAUCAAGGUUUGGUCAAAGGAUUGGGUAAAAUUGCUAUAUCACCUGACCAUUCUAUUUCCAAUGUUUUUCUUGUAGAUUCUUUAGAUUACAACUUGCUUUCUGUUUCCCAAUUAUGUAAAAUGGGCUACAACUGUCUUUUUUACGGAUACAGGUGUUACUGUCUUUAGAAGAAGUGAUGAUUCGGUAGCUUUUAAGGGAGUAUUAGAGGGUCAGCUAUACUUAGUUGAUUUCAAUAGAGCUGAACUCGGUACUUGCUUAAUUGCUAAGACAAACAUGGGUUGGCUCUGGCAUCACCGACUAGCCCAUGUUGGGAUGAAGAAUAUUCACAAGCAUCUAAAGGGAGAGCACAUUUUGGGACUAACAAAUGUGCAUUUUGAGAAAGACAGGAUCUGUAGCGCAUGCCAAGCAGGGAAGCAAGUUGGUGUUCAUCAUCCACAUAAAAACAUCUUGACGACUGUGUCACACCCUGUUUUAGAAGGCAAACCGAAUGCGAACCAUGUACGUGCCAGGAUCAGUUAUUCACGUACACAGCAGUUACAUAAUAUGGACAUCAUCACACAGUGCUCAAAAUAGUAUUAAUAAGGGAAAUAGUCGAUUACAUCAUACGUCUGAGACGUCCAUAUAGUUCUUACAAUAAAUCAAAGUGCGGAAAAGAAACGUAGAUAACGCGGCCUUCACAGGCAGCCGACUGGGGGUUGCCGCUAACCCACACCUAGAACUCGUCGUAAUCUUGGAACUCCUGGAAGUCUCCUUCCACAGCUUCAUCUUCGCCUGAGCAGUGGUUGCAAUGCUGACAACCUGGGGGGGGGUUUGGUGUGUAGAGCAAGGGUGAGUACACAUCAACAUACUCAGCAAGUAUCCUGUUUGGCUGUAGUGGACUAGCUUUAUGUGGGGAUAAGUCAAGCAGUUGCUUUUAGUUGGUCAGAUUAUUAUUUACUAGUAGAAAGCCAAGUUUUAGCAUUAACCCAAGUUAUUAGCCCGAUGUACCCUUUCCAAACGGAAAGAAUACCACUUACCAGCACCAUAGUCAUAACCAAAACCAUCAAUCUCAUAACCACCUGUACCACAAUGUCUCUGAUCAAGUACCACUAAUCACUGGAGCUCCCUUGGCCGCUCAUAACCGCGAGCACGGCUGAUAUAUCAAUUUUCAAACACUCUGCAGAGGUUGUGCACUUUACCCACAAGCCGUGAUUCCCUCUUGCCUCGGGCCGAUCAAACCCUUAAACACUACCAAGGUGAAUAGGCAGGGUCUCACUACGUAGCCUUUACAAAGAUUCCCCGGGGCUGUAGCCACCCGUUAGGUUUCCUAAAUGCACCGCACUCCUCCCCAAGGGGCGAACCCAAACUUGGCAGAGCGAGCCGCAUACACCGAGCCCCAUUGACGGCACGACGGCUAAGUGAACUACAUCCCGGAUCCUCUAAUUAUUCAGCUAAGGGCACCCCAUUCCACCCUCAUGGUUGCACUGUUUUCCCGGGCGGUCAUCCAUAGAACAGGUCCUUACGGAGAGGCACUCGAGAAACCGCUCGAGCCCCCUUAAAGACCACAAGUAUAAUCAUAAAAAGGAACGGGAAAACAGCGUAUCAUAGAUAACCACAUCAUGUUCAUUGAUUAGAGUUUGAGCAAUAGCAUAAAGCUAAACAGUAAUAAUCCAACCCAGAUAGGUAAACAAGGACAUGGAUAACAAAAGCUAGUCAAUCCUUAGGUAUAAAGGUGUAAUGCGGGAGGUGAAUUAAAUAAUGAAUAGGACAGAGAUAGGUCAAAGGACACUUGCCUCCACCAAACGACUGCUGCUCAGGGGCUUCUCCUGCGAAUUCCUCGGGCUCUUCGACCGGAUCGUUCUCUAUGCGAUUGCAAACAUACAUACAUCCAUCCACAUUUAAUACAAAAGAACAGUACACCAUACAAGGGAACAAAUAAAGUGAGUAUGCAUCAAGUAUGACAUUCGAUAUCGCAUUUGUUAUGGUUAGAAAGAAACGGGAAAGGGUCUCGCAGGGGGUUAAAUCUUAUGCACUAACGAUCAAUUACAAUUGGUUCUUAACAAAAGAAUUCUGUUAUAUGCACUAGUGGGAACCUAAUCAUUUUAAGUUGAUCAACAUCGCACGAGAUAAACAAUUAACUACAUGAAUCAAUUAGUAUAACGGAAUUUUAAAUUAAACUUCCUAUUUCAAUGGCAUUAAUAAUGAUUAACCUACCUAAAACAAAAUAGCUAUGAUCACAGAAAGUAAAUAAAAUAAAAUAAAAAAAACAGAGGGGGGGCGGUUGAACCGGCCCUAGGGGCGGUUGAACCGGCCGGGGCAGGGCGCGCAGGGGCGGCCGAGCCGGGGCGGCUGAGCCGGCCGAGCGGCCAGGGGGGGGCGCGGCCAGGGCGCGGCCAGGCGGGCGGCCAGGCGGGCGGCCGGGCGGGCGGGACGAGCCGGGCGGGCGGCCGGACGGCCAGGGCGCGGCCAAGGCCAGGGCGCGGCCAAGGCGGCGGCCAGGGCGGGCGGCCGGGCGGGGGCGGGACGAGCCGGGCGGGCGGCCGGGCGGGACGAGCCGGCCAUGGCGGCGGCCAUGGCGCCGAGCGGCGAGGGGAAGGGGAGGGGGGAUGGGGAGGGAGGAGAGAGGGAGGAGGGGGCUCACCGGCGAGGGGCGGCCGACGGCGGGGGGGGGGACGGCCGGCAGGGAGCGGCGGCCGAGCAGGGAGCGGCGGCCGAGCAGGGGGCGGCGGCUGAGCAGGGGGCGGCGGCGGCUUAGGGCAGGGGCGGGUAGGGGCGGCGCUAGGGGAGAGAGAGGGAAAAAGAGAGAGAGGGAGAGGGAUUGGGGGUUUUGGGGAAAAAUAAAGGGAGGGGGCGGCAUGGGCCAAUUGGGCCCAAGGGGGGGGGCGCCAGGGGCGGCUGGGCCGGCCGGGGUCGGCCCACGGCACGGGAGAGAGAGAGAUAGAAGAGAGAGAGAAAGAGAGAAAAAGAAAUAAAAGAUCUUCUUCUUAUUUUCGAAAUCCGAUCUUUCUAUAUGAAUGCAUUUGCACUUUCAAAGCAAUCAAAAGAAAUGCAAGGUUCGGCAUGGUGCAUCAAACAACAUAAAGUACUUAGGGUUUUUUCUUACACGGGAAAUCCAAACCGAAUCCCGCUAGAACUUUGGAAAAGGUCAAGGUUUAGCGAGGGGAAAAAGAAAAAGAAAAGGUAACGCCCGAAUUUUGGCGAGUAAAGAAAAGAAAAAAAAUUCAACUGCAAAAUUCGGGGCGUUACAAACCUAUCCCCCUUAAAAGAAUCUCGCCCUCGAGAUUCAGGGCUGGCUAGCAAAGAGCUCUGGGUACUUGGCCACUAGAUCAUCUUCACGCUCCCAGGUUGCUUCUUCCUCAGAGUGGUGAUUCCAUCGGACUUUGCACAUUCUGAUGGUCUUCCUUCGGGUGACUCUGUCUGCAAUCUCAAGGAUCUGAGCUGGCUUCUCAACAUAGGUCAAGUCCUCCUGGACUUCCAGACCUUCCACUGGCAACUGCUCUUCUGGCACACGCAAGCACUUCUUCAACUGGGACACAUGAAAGACAUUAUGCACAGCAGACAAAUUCUCUGGCAAACUGAGCUGAUAGGCCACUUCUCCUCGUCUUGCAAGAAUCUGAUACGGACCAAUGUAGCGGGGUGCUAGCUUGCCUUUCACUCCAAAUCUUCUGACUCCUCUGAUCGGUGACACUUUCAGAUAGACAAAGUCUCCGACUUCGAAACUCAGCUCUCUUCUCCUUGUGUCUGCAUAGCUUCGCUGCCUCGAUUGCGCUAUCUUCAGAUUCUCUCGAACCAUCUUGAUGUUCUCUUCGGCUUCAAGCAAAAUGUCUGGCCCAAACACUUGCUUUUCUCCAGGCUGAUCCCAUUACAACGGAGUUCUGCAACUCCUUCCAUAGAGCGCCUGAAAUGGUGACAUCUUCAAACUGGCCUGAUAACUGUUGUUAUAGGAAAACUCUGCAUAAGGCAAACGCUUGUCCCAUCCGGACUGAUCUUGCAACGCACAGGCUCUCAACAUAUCUUCGAGAAUUUGAUUGGUCCUUUCGGUCUGGCCAUCUGUCUGCGGGUGAUAAGCUGAACUGAAAUUCAGAUGCGUGCCCAAGGCUUCAUGCAACUGCUGCCAGAAAUGAGAGGUGAACUGCGUUCCUCUGUCUGACACUAUCUUCUUUGGCACACCAUGAAGACAAACGAUCCGAGACAUAUACAAUUCUGCCAAUACUGCACUGUUGUAGCUGGUCUUGACAGGUAUGAAGUGGGCUGACUUGGUCAAGCGGUCCACUACUACCCAAAUGGAAUCGUAGCCGGCUCGAGUGCGAGGCAAUCCGACUAUGAAAUCCAUACCGAUUUCAUCCCAUUUCCACUGAGGGAUCUGCAACGGUUGCAACAAUCCAGCAGGUCUCUGGUGCUCUGCCUUAAUUCUUCGGCAACUAUCGCACAUAGCCACAUGCUCUGCGAUUUCCCUCUUCAUUCCAUACCACCAGAAUUUCCUCUUCAGAUCCUGAUACAUCUUCUCACUACCAGGGUGAAUCGAAUAAGCUGUCUCAUGAGCUUCCUUGAGAAUCAACUCCCGAAUGGACUGGACAUUGGGAACACAUAAGCGGUCUUUGAACCAUAUCACGCCUUCUGCAUCUUCUCGAAAAUCUUUGCCUUUGCCUUCUAGAAUCAAUCGCCGAAUCUCACUGAUCUUUUCAUCAUUCUUCUGCGCUUCUUUGAUUUCGCGCUCCAAGGUAGGUUCCAACUCAACCGUGACUCCUCGCGAAUUGUUCAGAAAUCCGAGACUCAACCUGUCAAACUCCUUGGCCAACUCAUAGGGCAUCGGACGAGCGACCAUCAGAUUGACUUGACUCUUCCUGCUUAAAGCAUCUGCCACUACGUUUGCUUUGCCUGGAUGGUAAUGAAUUUCCAACUCAUAGUCUUUGAUCAACUCUAACCAUCUUCGUUGCCUCAUGUUCAACUCUGACUGAGUGAAUAUGUACUUCAGACUCUUGUGAUCUGUGUAAACAUCGCAUUUCUGUCCAUACAGAUAGUGCCUCCAUGUCUUCAGUGCGUGAACCACUGCUGCCAACUCUAGAUCAUGGAUUGGGUAGUUCUUCUCAUGAACCUUCAGCUGUCGGGACGAGUAAGCCACAACUCUUCCCUCUUGCAUCAACACACAUCCCAAACCUGUGUAGCAAGCAUCGCAAUACACCGAGAAGGGCUUGUGCACAUCAGGCAAGACUAGGACAGGCGCUGUAGUCAACUUCUCUUUCAGCGCUUCAAAGGCCUCUUGGCAUUUCUGGGUCCACUUGAACUCAACUUUGUUGCCUAGCAACGCUGUCAUUGGUUUCGCAAUCUUUGAAAACCCUUCAAUGAAUCGCCGAUAAUAUCCGGCCAUUCCAAUGAAACUCUUGAUUCCUCGAGCAUCUGUUGGCGCUUUCCAGUUCAAAAUGUCUGCCACUUUCUUCGGAUCCACAGCCAAUCCUUCCUUGUUGAUUAUGUGACCCAAGAACAGGACUUCACUGAUCCAGAACUCACAUUUGCUCAACUUUGCAUACAACUGGUGCUCUCGCAAUCUCUGCAACACCAUCCUCAAAUGAUCUGCGUGCUCUUCUUCGCUUUGAGAAUAAACCAGAAUAUCAUCAAUGAAUACCACCACAAACUUAUCAAGGUAAUCCAUGAAUACACUGUUCAUCAAGUUCAUAAAGAAUGCUGGCGCAUUGGUCAAACCAAAAGACAUCACUGUGAACUCAUACAAACCAUACUUGGUAAUGAAUGCCGUCUUCGGAAUGUCCGAAGGUCGGAUCCUGAGCUGAUGAUAACCUGACCUCAGAUCGAUCUUGGAGAACACACUGGCUCCUCUCAACUGGUCGAACAGAUCUUCUAUUCUGGGCAAAGGAUACUUGUUCUUGAUCGUGACCUCAUUCAAAGCUCGAUAAUCGAUGCACAUCCUCUUAGUACCAUCUUUCUUCUCCACAAAUAGGACAGGGGCGGCCCAAGGCGAGGUGCUUGGCCAGAUGUAACCUUUCUCUGACAGCUCAUCAAUUUGCUUCUUAAGUUCAUCCAACUCUGGUCCAGAUAUUCUGUAAGCUCUCUUAGAGAUAGGGGCGGUUCCAGGAAGAAGCUCUAUGGCAAACUCAACUUUCCGCUCUAGUGGCAUACCCGGUAAGUCCUUUGGAAACACAUCCGGGAACUCAGACACAACCUUGAUACUCUCAAUUGGGUCUGCUUCACUGCUAUCGACAGCUAGCUGAUAACAACUUCCUUUCUUUGGCUCAGGCGGGACUAACUCGGUCACCACUUCCUCUCCUAGUGGGGACACCAACUUGAUUGUCCUUUUAUCACAACUGAUAACUGCCUGAUACUUAUCUAGCCAAUUCAUCCCUAGGAUGACAUCUAUUCCCUGAGUACCCAUUACUAUAAGGUUGGCGGGAAACGCUAUCCCCCUUAUUUCCACACUUAUAUUCAAACAAAUGCUAUCGGCUCGAAUUCUACCACCGGCUGAGUCAAUUUGAAUGGGGGUUGACAUGGUAGUAAUUGGAAGAUUAUGUGCUUCUACCCAUGAUGCAGUAAUAUAAGAAUGCGUUGCUCCAGUAUCAAAUAACACUUCUGCAAUAUGGGAGUCGACUGGGAACAUACCUACUAUCAUGCCGGGGGUCUCCUGAACUGCUUCAGCUUCCAAGUGGUUCAGUCUUCCAUGAUUAUAACGCGGCUGAGGGCGAUUGCCUGAUCCAGGCUGAGGCACAUUCUGCUUCGCUGGGGCAUUGGGGCCUGACUGCUGCUGGGCUGCCUUCUUCGGACAUUGCAUCACCCAGUGGCCUUGCUCUCCACAGUGGAAACAUGCCCUGUUUCCAACCUGAGCUGGUGCUGCCUGACUGUUCUGCUGAUUUGCUGGGGCAGGAAGACGGGGUGCUUGCUGAUUCUGCCUUUGAAACUGACCUCCUGACUGAUUGCUCUGACGGUUCUGGUACUGAUGCUGAGGAUACUGCCUUUGAAACUGCUGAUGCUGCUGAGGUGGACGCUGGUUCUGCCUGAACUGCUGGGGUUGAUUGCCUGAGAAACGAGGGCGGCUGCUGCUUCCAGGCUGCGGUCCACUGAUCUUGCGCUUACGAUCUUCCAUCUCCUUGCGCUUUCUCUCCGUCAUGAUCGCUCUAUCAAUCAGGUGCUGGAAUGUCGGGAAGGUGUGAUUCAUCAGCUGAUACUGUAGAGGGUCAACCAAGCCUCUCAGGAAACGGUACUGCCGCUUGGCGUCAGUGUUGACAUCUUCAGGAGCAUAGCGAGACAAUUGCAGAAACUUGUCCCGGUACUCACUGACAGACAAUGGCCCUUGCUUGAGGGCCAGGAACUCCUCCUUCUUCACUGUCAUCAGACCUGCAGGCACGUGGUACUGACGAAAGCUACCCCUGAAUUCUUCCCAGGUGAUGGUGUCGGGGUUGGCAUGGGUGGCGAGGUAAGACUCCCACCAUGACUGGGCUGCUCCUCUCAACAGACGGGGACCAUACAAGACUUUCUCCCUGUCAUCGCACUGAGCGGUAUGCAACUCCCGCUCCACAGUGCGCAGCCAAUCUUCAGCAUCCAUAGGGUCAGAAGAAUGAGCGAACGUUGGUGGAUGACCUCUCAUGAAUUCAGCACGCUUGUCUCUGGGCAUCUGAGGCAUCUGAGGCUGGGGUGGUGCUUGCUGCUGCUGCUGCUGCUGCUGAAUGGCGGCCAAAGUCUGACCGAUGGCCUGAACUGCCUGAGUCUGCAUCAUAAACAUCUGCUCAAUCGACAUCGGGGGCGGGGGUGGCAGCUGCUGCUGCUGGGGCGCCUCAUCUUGCUGACCGGCUCGCUCCUGCUGAGCACGCCUUCCUCCUCUGCGCCUGUUCUCUGACAUCUGCAGAAUGCGACCACACAUCAGAACUGAUCUGGCAAAUCUUGCAGCAUAAGAGAAGAGAAGAGAAUUCCUCAACAGCACUGAACAGGUGAGCAUCUUCACUGAUCUCCAACACAGACCACACAGCUUCUCAGAUAGAAAGGAAAGUGGAAUAAAAGGUUUCCCAACUAUAUAACUAACUUUAUUAACAUACUAGGUAAACCAAAAUGCAGGGGAUACCCACACUCUGGUAACAGUCAUUACAAAGAUCCAAACCAAACAUAGUUCAUCAUGACAAACAUAAAUGCACAGGAUAUAGCAAACUACCCUGUCUAACUAAGACUAACUAAGACCGAGACUAACGCUAAGACUGAAGCUUCUAUGUAUAUAUUUCGUAUUAGUUACAAGAUCCAACUCUAACGAUCUAUGGCUCUAGAGUUAUCUUGGUCUUGCAGGCGGGAUUGCCAUAAGACUGGUGUCCACGCUGAGGUGAGCGGUACGGGUGCUGAGUCCCAACGGGAGCGGGGGAACCACCAUCCAAAUAACGACGUUCCGCGCGGCUGCGCAGCAGGGCAAUCUCAGCACGAGCCCUACUCAGCUCAUCUAAUGCAUGGUCCAGCUCCGUGUUUAGCACGGCGGCUAGGUUGACUGUGCUGCUCAACCUAGGAUUGCCCUCACCGACAGGUGAGACAAUCACGCCUCCUGUGCUGCCAGAUGAACGGCGGGGGUAAUACUUCAGGUCAAGACCGUCAGCUGCCCCACCGAAAACCGAGCAGUAGUGCGAAAGCGCACGCCGUGCAGCAUCUUGCAUGGCUGCCUCACCUGAGUCCCGUUCAGAGAUAGAAUAAUGCUCUGAGCAGGCCUCUGCACCCUGGAGACUGUUCUCCGGACAGCGCACCAAGCAAGUUGCCUCCCAGCGAUCCGGGUAGACCCCGCGACUAUGCUGGUAGACCACACAGCGAUACUCGACGGACCAAGUAUGCCGGUCAAAUGCCCGACGUAGCAGGGUGUCGAGCGCAUCGUGGAAGUGACACCCGCGAGCAGCGUCGCGAGUGAUGGGUCGAGCAACCCAUCCUUCCGGCUCAGGGUUAGCAGAGAAGUCGGUGUCGUGGCUCGAGCUGUCGUCGCCUCCUCCGUCGUCUGGGUCUCCUCCAGCAGCUACUCCAGAAGCUGGGGCGCCCAAUGGUGAUGCAGGGGGCGGCUCCAGAGGAAGCACAGGGGAGCAGCUCCUCACAGACUCUAUCUCCUGGUGGAGCGAGAAGGAAGAGCUCUGCUGCUCCUGUCGUCGACGCUCCUGCUCCUCACGCAGGCGGUGGUGUAGUCUCUCCAAGUGGCUGGACUGUCCGGCCACGGGACGGCGAAGCGGACGCUCAGCAAGGCGGGAGGGUAAGAAGGGGAUGACUGACUUUCGUGCAGUGUGUCUAAGUCGAGCCAUCUACAAAAGACAUCGCAAGCAAAAGGGUAAUUACAGAAUUAAUAUGACCAGCAAAUAAUGAAUCAUAAGUAAAUGAAGGAUUGGAAUAAAACAUGAUUUUCAGCAAGGUAUAGUAUAUAGUAGAACAUAGGUUUGGUCGGUAGGACCAACUUUUGAAGAGAUAUCAAAGUCAAGGUAGGGACAGAGGUCUAUAGUCCUUAGAACGACCAUUCUACUCUAGGUUAGCGGUCCUACAGUCAGCACGGCUCUGAUACCACUUAUGUCACACCCGGUUUUAGAAGGCAAACCGAAUGCGAACCAUGUACGUGCCAGGAUCAGUUAUUCACGUACACAGCAGUUACAUAAUAUGGACAUCAUCACACAGUGCUCAAAAUAGUAUUAAUAAGGGAAAUAGUCGAUUACAUCAUACGUCUGAGACGUCCAUAUAGUUCUUACAAUAAAUCAAAGUGCGGAAAAGAAACGUAGAUAACGCGGCCUUCACAGGCAGCCGACUGGGGGUUGCCGCUAACCCACACCUAGAACUCGUCGUAAUCUUGGAACUCCUGGAAGUCUCCUUCCACAGCUUCAUCUUCGCCUGAGCAGUGGUUGCAAUGCUGACAACCUGGGGGGGGUUGGUGUGUAGAGCAAGGGUGAGUACACAUCAACAUACUCAGCAAGUAUCCUGUUUGGCUGUAGUGGACUAGCUUUAUGUGGGGAUAAGUCAAGCAGUUGCUUUUAGUUGGUCAGAUUAUUAUUUACUAGUAGAAAGCCAAGUUUUAGCAUUAACCCAAGUUAUUAGCCCGAUGUACCCUUUCCAAACGGAAAGAAUACCACUUACCAGCACCAUAGUCAUAACCAAAAUCAUCAAUCUCAUAACCACCUGUACCACAAUGUCUCUGAUCAAGUACCACUAAUCACUGGAGCUCCCUUGGCCGCUCAUAACCGCGAGCACGGCUGAUAUAUCAGUUUUCAAACACUCUGCAGAGGUUGUGCACUUUACCCACAAGCCGUGAUUCCCUCUUGCCUCGGGCCGAUCAAACCCUUAAACACUACCAAGGUGAAUAGGCAGGGUCUCACUACGUAGCCUUUACAAAGAUUCCCCGGGGCUGUAGCCACCCGUUAGGUUUCCUAAAUGCACCGCACUCCUCCCCAAGGGGCGAACCCAAACUUGGCAGAGCGAGCCGCAUACACCGAGCCCCAUUGACGGCACGACGGCUAAGUGAACUACAUCCCGGAUCCUCUAAUUAUUCAGCUAAGGGCACCCCAUUCCACCCUCAUGGUUGCACUGUUUUCCCGGGCGGUCAUCCAUAGAACAGGUCCUUACGGAGAGGCACUCGAGAAACCGCUCGAGCCCCCUUAAAGACCACAAGUAUAAUCAUAAAAAGGAACGGGAAAACAGCGUAUCAUAGAUAACCACAUCAUGUUCAUUGAUUAGAGUUUGAGCAAUAGCAUAAAGCUAAACAGUAAUAAUCCAACCCAGAUAGGUAAACAAGGACAUGGAUAACAAAAGCUAGUCAAUCCUUAGGUAUAAAGGUGUAAUGCGGGAGGUGAAUUAAAUAAUGAAUAGGACAGAGAUAGGUCAAAGGACACUUGCCUCCACCAAACGACUGCUGCUCAGGGGCUUCUCCUGCGAAUUCCUCGGGCUCUUCGACCGGAUCGUUCUCUAUGCGAUUGCAAACAUACAUACAUCCAUCCACAUUUAAUACAAAAGAACAGUACACCAUACAAGGGAACAAAUAAAGUGAGUAUGCAUCAAGUAUGACAUUCGAUAUCGCAUUUGUUAUGGUUAGAAAGAAACAGGAAAGGGUCUCGCAGGGGGUUAAAUCUUAUGCACUAACGAUCAAUUACAAUUGGUUCUUAACAAAAGAAUUCUGUUAUAUGCACUAGUGGGAACCUAAUCAUUUUAAGUUGAUCAACAUCGCACGAGAUAAACAAUUAACUACAUGAAUCAAUUAGUAUAACGGAAUUUUAAAUUAAACUUCCUAUUUCAAUGGCAUUAAUAAUGAUUAACCUACCUAAAACAAAAUAGCUAUGAUCACAGAAAGUAAAUAAAAUAAAAUAAAAAAAAACAGAGGGGGGGGGCGGUUGAACCGGCCCUAGGGGCGGUUGAACCGGCCGGGGCAGGGCGCGCAGGGGCGGCCGAGCCGGGGCGGCUGAGCCGGCCGAGCGGCCAGGGGGGCGCGGCCAGGGCGCGGCCAGGCGGGCGGCCAGGCGGGCGGCCGGGCGGGUGGGACGAGCCGGGCGGGUGGCCGGACGGCCAGGGCGCGGCCAAGGCCAGGGCGCGGCCAAGGCGGCGGCCAGGGCGGGCGGCCGGGCGGGGGCGGGACGAGCCGGGCGGGCGGCCGGGCGGGACGAGCCGGCCAUGGCGGCGGCCAUGGCGCCGAGCGGAGAGGGGAAGGGGAGGGGGGAUGGGGGAGGGAGGAGAGAGGGAGGAGGGGGCUCACCGGCGAGGGGCGGCCGACGGCGGGGGGGGGGGGGGGCCGGCAGGGAGCGGCGGCCGAGCAGGGGGCGGCGGCCGAGCAGGGGGCGGCGGCGGCUUAGGGCAGGGGCGGGUAGGGGCGGCGCUAGGGGAGAGAGAGGGAAAAAGAGAGAGAGGGAGAGGGAUUGGGGGGUUUUGGGGAAAAAUAAAGGGAGGGGGGCGGCAUGGGCCAAUUGGGCCCAAGGGGGGGGCGCCAGGGGCGGCUGGGCCGGCCGGGGUCGGCCCACGGCGCGGGAGAGAGAGAGAUAGAAGAGAGAGAGAAAGAGAGAAAAAGAAAUAAAAGAUCUUCUUCUUAUUUUCGAAAUCCGAUCUUUCUAUAUGAAUGCAUUUGCACUUUCAAAGCAAUCAAAAGAAAUGCAAGGUUCGGCAUGGUGCAUCAAACAACAUAAAGUACUUAGGGUUUUUUCUUACACGGGAAAUCCAAACCGAAUCCCGCUAGAACUUUGGAAAAGGUCAAGGUUUAGCGAGGGGAAAAAGAAAAAGAAAAGGUAACGCCCGAAUUUUGGCGAGUAAAGAAAAGAAAAAAAAUUCAACUGCAAAAUUCGGGGCGUUACAGACUGACAGGCCACUCGAGCUCCUCCACAUGGACCUAUUCGGCUCGAUCGCUUACAUAAGCAUCGGCGGGAGUAAGUACUGUCUAGUUAUUGUGGAUGACUAUUCUCACUUCACUUGGGUAUUCUUUUUACAGGAAAAAUCUCAAACCCAAGAGACCUUAAAGGGAUUCUUGAGAUGAGAUCAAAAUGAGUUCGGCUUAAGGAUCAAGAAAAUUAGAAGCGAUAAUGGGACGGAGUUCAAGAAUUCACAAAUUGAAGGCUUCCUUGAGGAGGAGGGCAUCAAGCAUGAGUUCUCUUCUCCCUACACGCCACAACAAAAUAGUGUAGUGGAGAGGAAGAAUAGAACUCUAUUGGACAUGGCAAGAACCAUGUUUGAUGAAUACAAGACUUCAGAUCGGUUUUGGGCCGAGGCGGUCAACACCGCUUGCUACGCCAUCAACCGGUUGUAUCUACACCGAAUCCUCAAGAAGACAUCUUACGAACUCCUCACUGGUAAAAAGCCAAAUGUUUCAUAUUUUAGAGUCUUUGGUAGCAAAUAUUUUAUUCUUGUUAAAAGAGGUAGAAAGUCCAAAUUUGCUCCUAAGGUUGUAGAAGGCUUUUUACUAGGAUAUGAUUCAAACACAAGGGCAUAUAGAGUCUUUAACAAGUCCACUGGACUAGUUGAAGUUUCUUGUGACAUUGUGUUUGAUGAGACUAACGGCUCUCAAGUAGAGCAAGUUGAUCUUGAUGAAUUAGAUGAUGAAGAGGCUCCGUGCGUCGCGCUAAGGAACAUGUCCAUUGGGGAUGUGUGUCCUAAGGAAUCCGAAGAGCCCAUUCAAGCACAAGAUCAACCAUCCUCCUCCAUGCAAGCAUCUCCACCAACUCAAGAUGAGGAUGAGGCUCAAGAUGAUGAAAAAGAAGAUCAAGAAGAUGAGCCGUCUCAAGAGGAGGGCAAUGAUCAAGGGGGAGAUGCAAAUGAUCAAGACAAGGAGGACGAGCAAGUUCCAAGGCCGCCACACCCAAUAGUCCACCAAGCAAUCCAACGAGAUCACCCCGUGAACACCAUCCUCGGCGACAUCCAUAAGGGGGUAACCACUAGAUCUCGUGUUGCACAUUUUUGUGAGCACUACUCUUUUGUUUCCUCUAUUGAGCCACACAGGGUAGAGGAAGCACUUCAAGAUUCGGAUUGGGAGAUGGCGAUGCAAGAGGAGCUCAACAACUUCACGAGGAAUGAGGUAUGGCAUUUAGUUCCACGUCCUAACCAAAAUGUUGUAGGAACCAAGUGGGUCUUCCGCAACAAGCAAGAUGAGCAUGGUGUGGUGACAAGGAACAAAGCCCGACUUGUGGCCAAGGGAUAUUCACAAGUCGAAGGUUUGGAUUUCGGUGAAACCUAUGCACCCGUAGCUAGGCUUGAAUCAAUUCGUAUAUUACUUGCCUAUGCUACUUACCAUGGCUUCAAGCUUUAUCAAAUGGACGUGAAAAGUACCUUCCUUAAUGGACCAAUUAAGGAAGAGGUCUAUGUUGAGCAACCUCCCGGCUUUGAAGACAGUGAGUAUCCUAACCAUGUUUAUAGACUCUCUAAGGCGCUUUAUGGGCUCAAGCAAGCCCCAAGAGCAUGGUAUGAAUGCCUAAGAGAUUUUCUUAUUGCUAAUGGAUUCAAAGUCGGAAAAGCCGAUCAUACUCUCUUUACUAAAACACUUGCAAAUGAUUUGUUCGUAUGCCAAAUUUAUGUUGAUGAUAUCAUAUUUAGGUCUACUAACGAAUCUACUUGUGAAGAGUUUAGUAGGAUCAUGACACAAAAAUUCGAGAUGUCUAUGAUGGGGGAGUUGAAGUAUUUCUUAGGAUUUCAAGUGAAGCAACUCCAAGAGGGCACCUUCAUUAGCCAAACGAAGUACAUUCAAGACAUUCUAACCAAGUUUGGGAUGAAGGACACCAAGCCCAUCAAGACACCCAUGGGAACUAAUGGGCAUCUCGACCUCGACACGGGAGGUAAAUCCAUAGAUUAAAAGGUAUUACCGGUCGAUGAUAGGUUCCUUACUCUAUUUAUGUGUUUCACGACCGGAUAUUAUGCUUUCCGAAUGCAUGUGUGCAAGAUUCCAAGCCGAUCCUAAGGAAACUCACCUUAGGGCCGUAAAACGAAUCUUGAGAUAUUUAGUUUAUACUCCUAAGUUUGGCCUUUGGUACCCCAGGGGAUCCACAUUUGAUUUAAUUGGUUAUUCUGAUGCCGAUUAGGCAGGGUGUAAAAUUAAUAGAAAGAGCACAUCAGGGACUUGCCAGUUCUUGGGAAGAUCUCUGGUAUCUUGGGCUUCAAAGAAGCAAAAUUUUGUGGCUCUUUCAACCGCCGAAGCCGAGUAUAUUGCCGCAGGCCAUUGUUGCGCGCAAUUGCUUUGGAUGAGGCAAACCCUUAGGGACUAUGGUUACAAAUUAACCAAAGUUCCUCUUCUAUGUGAUAAUGAGAGUGCAAUCCGCAUGGCGGAUAAUCCCGUUGAGCAUAGCCGCACUAAACACAUAGCCAUUCGGUAUCAUUUUCUAAGGGAUCACCAACAAAAGGGGAAUAUCGAGAUUGCAUAUGUUAGCACCAAAGAACAAUUAGCCGAUAUCUUUACCAAGCCAUUGGAUGAACAAACUUUUACCAAACUUAGGCAUGAGCUAAAUAUUCUUGAUUCUAGGAAUUUUGAAUGAUAUUUUGCACACAUAGCUCAUAUAUAUACCUUUGAUCAUAUAUAUGACUAAUGUGUUCUUUCAAGUCCAUUUCAUGCUAAGUCAUAGAUUGAAAGGGAAAAGGAGUCUUCGGCGAAGACAAGGCUUCCACUCCGCUCCAUCGAAUCAUUCAUCCUUCGCCGUCGCUCCGCACUAACUCUCCAACUUUAGUAUAAUCUUCACUCCUUUACUUCCGUCCAAAGGGGGAGAGAGUAGUUUAAAAGGGCUUAUAUUUCACUCAAGCAUCCAUUUUUGGCGAUUCAUGCCAAAGGGGGAGAGAGUAUUAGCCCAAAGCAAAAGGACCGCACCACCACCAAUUUCAAAAAUGUAGUCUUUUAAUUGGUAUUUAAAAGAAGUUUUUCAAUUGGCAUCUUAUUUUGAUAUAAUUUUAACUUGGUAUACCCUUUUCAAAAUUAAUAUCUAAAACUCUCUUGAACACUAAGAGGAGGAUUUCAUUAAGGGGGAGUUUUGUUUAGUCAAAGGAAAAGCAUUUGAACCAGGGGGAAAAGAUUUCAAAACUUGAAAAUGCUUCUCAAAAUCUUAUUCAUUUAACUUUGACCAUUUGCAAAAGAACUUUGAAAAGAAUUUCCAAAACAUUUUGCAAAACAAAACAUGUGGUGCAAUCGUGGUCCAAAAUGUUAAUAAAAAGAAAAGCCAUCCAUGCGCAUCUAGUAAGUAAUAUUUAUUGGUUUCAUUCCAAGCAACCUUUGCACUUACAUUAUGCAAAUUGGUUCAAUUCUGCACUUUCAUAUUUGCUUUGGUUUGUGUUGGCAUCAAUCACCAAAAAGGGGGAGAUUGAAAGGGAAAUAGGCUUACACCUUUUCCUAAUUGAUUUUGGUGGUUGAAUUGCCCAACACAAAUAAUUGGACUAACUAGUUUGCUCUAAAUUAUAAGUUUUACAGGUGCCAAAGGUUCACAAUUGACCAAUAAAAUGACCAAGAAAUGGUUCAAACAAAGAGAGCAAAAGACAACCGAAGCGUGCCCUGGUCUGGCGCACCGGACUGUCCGGUGUGCCACCGGACAGUGUCCGGUGUGCCAGGGAACUCAGCUCCAAACUCGUCACCUUCGGGAAAAUCAGAGGGCGCUCCACUAUAAUUCACCGGACUGUCCGGUGGCGCCCCGGACUGUCCGGUGUGCCAGCGGAGCAACGGCUACUUCAGCGCCAACGGUCGACUGCAACCGCAUUCAAUGCGCUACAGUGCGCGCCAGAGUCAGAGCAGCGUCAGAAGGCGCACCGGACGGUCUAUAGUACUUGUCCGGUGCACCACCGGACGGCCAGAAUGUAACACCCACUUUGUAAUUUGCUAGAAAUAAUACCAAUAGAGAAACAAUUUCUCUUUAUGUGAGUUUGAUCUUUAUGCAUCAUCAUAUGUGAACACCAUGCCCAAAAAAACAAUUAAUAAAAUUAUAUACUACCAAAUUAUGCAUCAUGCUCGAUUUUAUUCUGUGUGCAUUUUGUGACAAGAAAAUAUUAAAGACCAAAAAGGGAAUUUAAAACUUAAAAGAGAUUCAAAAAUUUAGGAAAGAGAAACAAACAAAUAUCAUGUGAAAUAAAGAUAUAAAUAGUAUGUAUAAGUAUAUAUGCCCAAGCUAGAGCUUGUCAUGACAUAACAUAAUCUGAGGAUAAAAUUUGUCACAAAACAUUUGAAUUUGGAGCUAAUUUGAAUGGGAAAUGAAAGGAAAAUAAAAAUCUGAAAAGGAAAACAUAAACUGCAGCGCCUGGGCCCAGAAUUCUUCAUUUCGGCCCAGUAACUAAAAUGCACUGCGCGGCCCACGUCGAUCUAUCCAUCGCACGCACGCCCUGACUGGUGGGACCCGCGGGUCGGCCAGUUCUCCGCACCACGCCUCUGUCGUGCGGGCCCGAUCGGUCAGGCAACCGGACACCGCGCGCGCUGGGUGAACUCUCUGGUCCGCGGGACCCGCUAUUAGCCGCUCCAUCCCUUCGCUCUGCUCGUGCGUGCCUCGCCGACUUGUGGGCCCAAGCUGUCGGGCUCGUCCCCUCUACCGAAACCGCGCGCAACCACCGUCGCGAUUUCCUCGGCGUUGGCCGAGCUGGUUCAACGGCCUCCCUGCUCACUCGGACGUCCUUUGCCGCACAUAAGAACGCCGCUCGGAGCCCAUGGAGAAAAGCCCUAGUCUAGAGGUUGGUCGCCGCCGUAGUGAGAAAGAAGAGGGAAGUCCUUCGCGAGCCCUACGACCGUUCUCCCUCCCUAGUCACCGACGACCAAUUGCCAGCGUGGGUGAGUGCAGCUGGGUGUUGCGGACGUGUUCGCGGGAGCGGAAGGAAGAAGGGACCCAUAGAGGACUCGAGAUUGCUCGCCGGAGUCUCUGCGCAGCCGCGGAUCCGCUCUCCUCCGUGGGCGAGCUCGCAACCUCCUCGAUAGCCGGUGAGAACUUCUCUUAUAGCUCCGCCAUGGGCUAGUAAUGUUGUAGCUCGGGUUCGAUUUGUGAAUGGGGGCGUGGAUGGCGGAAUCGACUAGCGCCGGCAAUGGCGCCGCCGCGGGUAAAUCCUGUGCGUCGCCGCGCCUCGGGAUGGAUUGGGGCGAACGGUUGGGCACCGUCCGAUCCACAGCAACGGCUCAGAUUAGAGUAUAGGUUACUGAUUGGAUGGGAGUGCUGAGGAUCGUCUGAUCGAGAUCUCGCAGCCUAGAAUAGAUCGUGCAACAUUAGAUAACCGCCGUCGAUCUCGAAUCCGAUGGGCAGCGUUACAUACCGAUUCGGCCUGGGAUACAUCUAAUCCUAGCGGUCGAUAGGAGAUCGGGCGGCCAGAAAUAGAGAAUACCCCUUCGGGCGCCAUUCUUUCUAAAGAGACCCUGGGGAUUUCUGGAAUCAACCCGCCGUCCAGGGACCCUGUUCCUUGAGUCUUAGGUUUAAUUGCGCCAUAGCCCCUGCACUUUGCAGUAUUUGAUGCGAAGUCCAGAGACACAGGAAAUUCAAUAAUUAAAUAUAGAAAUUGAUUUUAAGGCUUAAAUAAUUGCUAGAACUUUGAUAAUUCAUAGAAAAUUCAUAUGAGCUCCAAAUUACUCCAUUCCAGUUCCUAAAUUUUUAUACUUUUAUUCUCUAUCACUUAGAGUCUCUGUUUUGUCAUGAAAACAAUAAGAAAUUUAAUCUCUCACUUAAUCCUAUUCUAAACACAUAAAACAUUUGAAAAUCCAUAACUUAAAAUCUAUAACUCCAAAAAUUAUGAUUCAUGUUCCUAGAAUUUUAUUUUAAUGUGUAGAUUAUUACUGUGUAUUUUGUUUAUAUGUUUGGUGUAAUGUUAAUUUCUCUAUAUGCGCUGUGCUUGUUUGUAUUGUGGCGAGUAGAAGAGCCCGUGACCGAGGAUCCUGGUGAGCAGCAGAUAGAAGUAGCUGAGCAGGAGCUCAUUGAAGGCAAGUUGUGCCCUUGACCACUUUUUACCCAAUAAUGUUCUUUAAUAUCACUUAUCCAUGCAUAGGUUAAUUUUGAUGGGACCCAAUAGGUCACCCUAGAUUGUUUAUCUCAUUACCUUGUUUACCCCUGAAUCACUUGGGUAGUUUGCUAUUGCUUUAUAUGGUUUUGGGAUAAUCAUUUAUUACCUCUAUGUUCCAAUUCUUUUUGUUAUUCUAUUUAUGUUCAUGUUGAGAUCAUUAAUGUUAAUUGGAACAUAGAGCUUAACUUGAGUAACACGUGCCACCACAAGGGUUUAAUGGGACGCCCUUGGCUGACUAAUUAGGAAAGCUAGUGGGAGACUACCUUACCCGAAAGGGGCAAGGGCAGUAGGGGAGUUGCAUGCAAGGAGGUUCUCGGGUUGAUUUUGCUGCGAUGGCGGUCAGACGGGGGAUUCUUGCAAGUGCUCUUCCCAUAAACUGUAGCGAGUUUUCGGAAGCUAGUGGAACUUUGUAAAUGCCUCGUAGUGUUGCCCUGCCGCGCUUCCUAGGUAGAGGUGUAUGGGAUUCGCGACCCCUUGGCAGAUGGGUAACAUGACUUGUGGGUAAAGGGUACAACCUCUGCAGAGUGUAAAACUGGUAUACUAGCCGAGCUCACGGUCAUGAGCGGCUCAGGACUCUCUGAUGUUUAAAUUAUGGAACUUAAAUUUAAUUUGUCAUUCGCAUAUGCAUGGGUUAUUAUUAAUUUUGUUCUAUUACUUUGCUUAUGGUUUGGUAUUUACUUAUACUUAGUAACCGCUAAUAAAAUUUUGACCAACUACUUAAAAGCAAUGCUCAGCUUUAACCCCUAUCAUUGAUUAGCCUUACACAUAACAUGAACUCACACCUUUGUGAGUUUAUGUCCACUGGUUCCCCACAACUUGUUGAGCUAUGAUCAUGUGUGAGCUCACCCUUGCUGUCUCACACCCCCCACACAGGAGAAGAGCAGGUGGUUCAGGAGGAGCCACAAGGCGAGGAGUAUGAUCUGAUCUAGGUGGCGUUUCUCAGUUGACAUUGGCGUCGACGAUCCUUAGUUCGUUUUAUGGUUAUUCCUUUAUUUUGUAAUAAGACUUCCACUAUGUAAUAAGUACUCUAAUGUUUUAUGACAUUUAUCUCUAUACACUCUGUUACUAUAUAUGUUGUCUUCUUGGCGCAUGUAUGAGAUGCACCUGGCUUUGUUCCUUAAAGCCGGGUGUGACAGAAGUGGUAUCAAAGGAAAUGUUGACUGUAGGACGAGACCUAGAUAGAAACGGACAAAACCCUUACCUACUUACCUUACUCUGAAUCAUUCUAUACUUAUCUCAUCUUGAUCUUGUCUCACCUUUUGCUAUUCUACUCUGAUUAAUCUUAUCUUUUCUACUCUAAGACAAGAUGGAUUUCACACCUUGGAAUCUUACCACUAUGAUCUUUUUAAGAGAUAGGGAACCCAAGACAAAAUUUAAAACUAUUCUUUUUAAAAAUGUUGUUUGAUUGUUCUGAUGUUAAAUGUCUGAUUUGCUUCUUUGAUUGAUUGAUAUAUUAUAUGUGGACAUCUUAGCAUGUACCACCAUAAGGUAUUGAAUUAGCUAUGGUAGGUAAAAUAUUAAUCUGCUUAGCUAAUAAAAUUCCCCAAAGUAACCUGAUUUGUAAAUAUCUGCCUUGUCUACUAUUUUCUUACCAUAUGUAUCUAACUCAGAUGGUCAAUACCAGGCGGGGUGGUGGAAUUGAUUUGCCUCCUAAUCGACACACUCGGUGGAUAUAUAGACAACCCCAGCCACAACCUGCAGAGAUGAAUCCUCCUAAUCCUCCACCAGGCGGAGUUGACCCACUGGUUGCUGCUCAGAUGAAUAUGAUGCAGCAAAUGGCGGACACCAUGGCAGAUAUGCGUGCACAGAUGCAGCAAGAACGCCGGGAGAUGCGCCAAGAAAGAGAAGAGAUACGACAGGAGUUGCACCAGGAACGAGAGGAGAUACGCCAGGAAAGGAGGGCGCAACAACAACAGCUGCAACAGCAAAUGCAACAACAACAGCAGCAGCAGCAGCAACAGCAACAAGUACCACUGCCUCCUCCACCACCACCAGUUCCACCACGUGAUAAGCAUAGGGAGUUCAUGAGUCAUAAGCCACCUACAUUCGCUAGCUCACCUGAUCCACUGGACGCGGAUGAUUGGCUGAAGUCUGUUGAGAAGAUGUUGAAUAUUGCACAGUGCACUGAUCGGGAGAAGGUUUUAUAUGCUUCUGGACGACUGGCAGGUCCUGCUGCUGACUGGUGGGAUUCAUAUACUGCUGCCCAUGAUGCUGCGGAUACUAUUACUUGAGCAGAGUUCAGUACACAGAUCAGGAAUUAUCAUAUACCAGCUGGAUUGAUGAAGAUUAAGAAGAAGGAAUUUCUAUCGCUGAAGCAAGGAAGCAUGACAGUCAGCGAGUACCGCGACAAGUUUAUCCAGUUAUCCAGAUAUGCCCCUGAUGAAGUUGCUGAAGAUGAGAGGAAGCAGGAGCAUUUUAUUGAAGGACUUAAUGGACCCCUGCAGUAUGCUCUAGUGGCACACACAUUUCCAUCAUUUCAGAGGCUGCUUGAUAAGGCCCUGGCUAUUGAACACAAGCGUGUUCAGCUGGGAGAUUUGAAGAGAAAGGCUAUAUCUCAAGGACAAGGAAGCAGCAGUGUUCGUCCUCGCUACAGUUCACCUCAUGAUACACCAGUUCGCACUGGCGGAGGCCAGCACCCAGUUCAGCAAUCACCAGUGAGGACUCCACCUCCUCGACAGGCUACCCCUACUGGCACCCCGACGAAGUUUUCAGGACAGAGUCCAGGCACUACUUGUUUCAAGUGUGGGAAGACUGGUCAUUAUGCAAAUGUCUGCCCAUAGAGGAUUGCUACUACUCCAGUUCAGAACAGGCAGCAAACUCCAGGAUCUGGCAAGGGAUAUUCUAUUGCCAAGGUUAAUCAAGUCAGCGUUGAUGCUACUCCGGAUGGUGGGGACAUCGUACUUGGUAUGUUUUAUGUUAAUGCAAUUCCUGCGACCAUAUUAUUUGAUUCUGGUGCUACACAUUCAUUCAUGUCUGCUAGAUAUGCCAACACAAAUGAAAUACCACUGCUAAAUAUGAGAAAACCCAUGAUAGUAAUUACACCUAAAGGGCCUGUUGAGGCGAAUCAAAUGACACGUAGAUUGACAUUGACCAUUACGGGUAGAGAAUUUGGAGCUACUGCUAUAAUAUUAGAGUCAAGCAGUAUAGAUUUGAUCCUUGGUAUGUCAUGGCUAAGAAAGGUAAAGGUCGUUAUAGCAUGUGGUAGAGGUACCGUAGAACUAACUACCACUAAAGGAGAAAGAUUUCAAGUUAAUAUUGCAGUAACCUCCUCAUCCAUGCGUGCAAUGUUCUUUAUACCUGAGGAGUUUGUUGGUGACAACAUCCAGGUGGUUAGAGAUUUUCCGGAUGUCUUUCCAGAGGAGUUACCAGGGAUGCCACCUGAUAGAGAAGUUGAGUUUGUUAUUGAUCUCUUACCUGGAACCGCCCCUAUUUCUAAACAGCCAUAUAGGAUGUGCGUAGAGGAGUUGAAGGAACUUAAGAAGCAGUUAACUGAGUUACAAGAGGCUGGAAAUUCGUCUGAGUUCCUCACCUUGGGGAGCGCCGGUUCUGUUUGUACAGAAGAAGGAUGGAUCACAGCGGAUGUGUGUGGAUUAUAGAUCCCUUAAUGAUGUUACUGUGAAGAACAAGUAUCCGUUGCCCCGUAUUGAGGAUUUAUUUGAUCAGAUGAGAGGUGCUAGAGUAUUCUCGAAGAUUGAUCUCCGGUCGGGUUACCAUCAGAUGAGGAUUAGACCAUCGGAUAUUCCCAAGACGGCUUUCUCGACUCGAUAUGGACUAUAUGAGUUUACCGUUAUGUCGUUUGGAUUAACCAAUGCACCAGAUUAUUUUAUGAAUUUGAUGAACAAGGUGUUUAUGGAGUAUUUGGAUAGAUUCGUCGUGGUGUUCAUCGACGACAUUCUUAUCUAUUCCAAGAGUGAUAGCGAUCACGAGGGACAUCUGAGGUUGGUGCUACAGAAGCUACGAGAUAACUAGCUAUAUGCCAAGUUCAGCAAGUGCGAGUUUUGGAUUGGCGAGGUGCCAUUUCUUGGUCAUAUUAUUUCUAAUGGAGGAAUAUCAGUGGAUCCUGCUAAGGUUAAGGAGAUAAUGGAGUGGAGAGUACCCACUACAGUUACUGAGAUUCAGAGUUUCUUGGGAUUAGUAGGCUACUAUCGGAGAUUUAUUGAAGGAUUUUCUAAGAUUGCCAAACCUAUGACUUCGCUUUUGGAGAAAGGAAAAGAAUUUAAGUGGGACGAGAAGUGUCAAGACAGCUUUGAUCUAUUGAAGAAGAGGUUGAUGUCGCCACCAGUAUUGGUUAUGCUAGACCUACAGAAAGGAUUUGAUAUUUAUUGUGAUGCAUGUGGCCAAGGCUUAGGAUGUGUGCUCAUGCAAGAAGGAC
RNAcentral lists this long non-coding RNA (28784 nucleotides) under Zea mays. RNAcentral describes it as "long non-coding RNA (ZMAY_LNC005138)". The record is from RNAcentral. Lineage: Eukaryota; Viridiplantae; Streptophyta; Magnoliopsida; Poales; Poaceae.